CCGGUUGAUCCCGCCGGACCCAACCGCUAUCGGGGUGAGGCUAAGCCAUGGAAGUCGCACGCCCCGGUCACCGGGGCGUGGCAGACGGCUGAGUAACACGUGGCUAACCUACCCUCGGGACGGGGACAACCCCGGGAAACUGGGGCUGAUCCCCGAUAGGUGAGGAGGCCUGGAAGGGUUCUUCACCGAAAGGGUCUCACGGGGAUGUCCGUAAGGCCGCCCGAGGAUGGGGCCACGGCCCAUCAGGUAGUUGGCGGGGUAACGGCCCGCCAAGCCGAUAACGGGUAGGGGCCGUGAGAGCGGGAGCCCCCAGAUGGGCACUGAGACAAGGGCCCAGGCCCUACGGGGCGCAGCAGGCGCGAAACCUCCGCAAUGCGCGAAAGCGCGACGGGGUCACCCCGAGUGCCACCCACUGAGGGUGGCUUUUCCCCAGUGUAAGAAGCUGGGGGAAUAAGCGGGGGGCAAGUCUGGUGUCAGCCGCCGCGGUAAAACCAGC
This 496-nucleotide ribosomal RNA is filed under the name uncultured crenarchaeote. Its description in RNAcentral is "bacterial SSU rRNA". It matches the Rfam family "Archaeal small subunit ribosomal RNA", at positions 4 to 480 of the family's 1478-position model. The record is from RNAcentral. Lineage: Archaea; Thermoproteati; Thermoproteota.